AGAGUUUGAUCCUGGCUCAGGACGAACGCUGGCGGCGUGCCUAAUACAUGCAAGUCGAGCGAGCUUGCCUAGAUGAUUUUAGUGCUUGCACUAAAUGAAACUAGAUACAAGCGAGCGGCGGACGGGUGAGUAACACGUGGGUAACCUGCCCAAGAGACUGGGAUAACACCUGGAAACAGAUGCUAAUACCGGAUAACAACAUCUAGCGCAUGCUAGAAGUUUGAAAGAUGGGUUUCUAUCACUCUUGGAUGGACCUGCGGUGCAUUAGCUAGUUGGUAAGGUAACGGCUUACCAAGGCAAUGAUGCAUAGCCGAGUUGAGAGACUGAUCGGCCACAUUGGGACUGAGACACGGCCCAAACUCCUACGGGAGGCAGCAGUAGGGAAUCUUCCACAAUGGACGCAAGUCUGAUGGAGCAACGCCGCGUGAGUGAAGAAGGGUUUCGGCUCGUAAAGCUCUGUUGGUGGUGAAGAAAGAUAGAGGUAGUAACUGGCCUUUAUUUGACGGUAAUCACCUAGAAAGUCACGGCUAACUACGUGCCAGCAGCCGCGGUAAUGCGUAGGUGGCAAGCGUUGUCCGGAUUUAUUGGGCGUAAAGCGAGUGCAGGCGGUUCAAUAAGUCUGAUGUGAAAGCCUUCGGCUCAACCGGAGAAUUGCAUCAGAAACUGUUGAACUUGAGUGCAGAAGAGGAGAGUGGAACUCCAUGUGUAGCGGUGGAAUGCGUAGAUAUAUGGAAGAACACCAGUGGCGAA
Molecule: ribosomal RNA, 750 nt
Filed under: uncultured bacterium
Lineage: Bacteria
Description: bacterial SSU rRNA
Rfam family: Bacterial small subunit ribosomal RNA
Source: RNAcentral